UUGAUUGAGGCUAAACUAGAAGCAUGUCACUGUUAAUGAUAAAAGUGGUUAAACACCCAAUCAAG
Molecule: transfer RNA, 65 nt
Filed under: Atelura formicaria
Lineage: Eukaryota; Metazoa; Arthropoda; Insecta; Zygentoma; Nicoletiidae
Description: tRNA-Asn
Source: RNAcentral